GUGCUUGCUUCAGCAGCACAUAUACUAAAAUUGGAAUGAUACAUAGAAGAUUAUCAUGGCCCCUGUGAAAGGAUGGAACGCAAAUUCGUGCAGUGUUGCAUAUUUUU
Small nuclear RNA from Vombatus ursinus (common wombat), 107 nucleotides. Lineage: Eukaryota; Metazoa; Chordata; Mammalia; Diprotodontia; Vombatidae. The record is from Ensembl.